AAAAAGUAAACCACGCAAACAUCUACAUAAACUCCAUCACCGUUUCUCCUCCUACGAUUAACAUUGUCGAUUCAAGUUUUAUGGUUUGUCAUUGCAUUCGAUAACCACAUGGGAAACAAAGGAUUCGAGAGAAGAUAUUACUUACGUGUAUCGGUGCGACUUGAAGAACGGUGAUGGAGUUUUCGGAACUCGCAUACUGGAUUACUGAUUUUCUGCUGUUUUUGUUUUAAUUUUCUUGGUUUAGACUGAUUUUGAUUUAAUUCAGUUGAAUGUCCAUUUGAUUUAAUUUGGAAAUUGUAAUAAUUUGUAAUAAGAUUUUCAUGGUUGGUUGUAUGUGUGAUUUUCUUGGCUGGGUUUAUGCGUUA
Molecule: long non-coding RNA, 365 nt
Organism: Spinacia oleracea (spinach)
Lineage: Eukaryota; Viridiplantae; Streptophyta; Magnoliopsida; Caryophyllales; Amaranthaceae
Exons: 3
Source: RefSeq, a predicted model, not a curated record